GCCGCUGUGACGGAACAGGCAGACGCGCCGCCCUCAAAAGGCGGUGCUCGUGAGAGCGUCCGGGUUCGACUCCCGGCGGCGGCACCU
RNAcentral lists this transfer RNA (87 nucleotides) under Chloroflexota bacterium. RNAcentral describes it as "Chloroflexi bacterium tRNA-Leu". It matches the Rfam family "tRNA". From Rfam's summary of the family: Transfer RNA (tRNA) molecules are approximately 80 nucleotides in length. Their secondary structure includes four short double-helical elements and three loops (D, anti-codon, and T loops). Lineage: Bacteria; Bacillati; Chloroflexota. The record is from RNAcentral.